RNAcentral lists this ribosomal RNA (434 nucleotides) under uncultured bacterium. RNAcentral describes it as "partial 16S ribosomal RNA". It matches the Rfam family "Bacterial small subunit ribosomal RNA", at positions 29 to 507 of the family's 1533-position model. The record is from RNAcentral.
AGCGAACGCUGGCGGCAGGCCUAACACAUGCAAGUCGAACGAACCUUUCGGGGUUAGUGGCGGACGGGUGAGUAACACGUGGGAACGUGCCUUUAGGUUCGGAAUAACUCAGGGAAACUUGUGCUAAUACCGAAUGUGCCCUUCGGGGGAAAGAUUAAUCGCCUUUAGAGCGGCCCGCGUCGGGUUAGCUAGUUGGUUGAGGUAAUGGCUCACCAAGGCGACGAUCAGUAGCUGGUCUGAGAGGAUGAUCAGCCACAUUGGGACUGAGACACGGCCCAAACUCCUACGGGAGGCAGCAGUGGGGAAUCUUGCGCAAUGGGCGAAAGACUGACGCAGCCAUGCCGCGUGAAUGAUGAAGGUCUUAGGAUUGUAAAAUUCUUUCUCCGGGGACGAUAAUGACGGUACCCGGAGAAGAAGCCCCGGCUAACUUCGUG